AUUUAAACUCACCCUUAUUGGGCCUUUCACUAAUGACCCCUUGAAUUGUCAAAAGCAGGCAGAGUUGAGACAUGACUUUGGGGUGAAGUGGCAGCAUAUUGUGUAACAAGGUGGGGAAAAAU
This 122-nucleotide small nucleolar RNA is filed under the name Sorex araneus (European shrew). Lineage: Eukaryota; Metazoa; Chordata; Mammalia; Eulipotyphla; Soricidae. The record is from RNAcentral.